AUCUUUUUGUUGUUCAUGAGCAUGUGAUUGGGUGUUCACCCGCAGGUGUGAAAUGUGCUACCCUCAAAUCUUAUUUUGGGACAUUACCCGUCCGACA
Small nucleolar RNA from Callithrix jacchus (white-tufted-ear marmoset), 97 nucleotides. Lineage: Eukaryota; Metazoa; Chordata; Mammalia; Primates; Cebidae. The record is from Ensembl.